AGCAGCCGCGGUAAUUCCAGCUCCAAUAGCGUAUAUUAAAGUUGCUGCAGUUAAAAAGCUCGUAGUUGAAUUUCGGGAUCAAUAUGUUGGUCGUGCCUUGGUACGUACUAGCUCAUUGGUUUCUCCCUUCUGACGAACCAUGAUGUCAUUAAUUUGAUGUCAUGGGGAAUCAGGACUGUUACUUUGAAAAAUUAGAGUGUUUAAAGCAGGCUCGCGCUUGAAUACAUUAGCAUGGAAUAAUGAAAUAGGACAUUUGAUUCUAUUUUGUUGGUUUCUAGGAUCGAUGUAAUGAUUAAUAGGGAUAGUUGGGGCAUUAGUAUUCAAUUGUCAGAGGUGAAAUUC
This 342-nucleotide ribosomal RNA is filed under the name uncultured Glomus. RNAcentral describes it as "SSU rRNA". It matches the Rfam family "Eukaryotic small subunit ribosomal RNA", at positions 569 to 919 of the family's 1831-position model. Lineage: Eukaryota; Fungi; Glomeromycota; Glomeromycetes; Glomerales; Glomeraceae. The record is from RNAcentral.